Austrofundulus limnaeus is the source of this 2380-nucleotide long non-coding RNA. RefSeq lists it as uncharacterized. Lineage: Eukaryota; Metazoa; Chordata; Actinopteri; Cyprinodontiformes; Rivulidae. The transcript is spliced from 7 exons. The record is from RefSeq and is a predicted model, not a curated record.
CCCGGUUAGGCGGAAGAAAAUGGAUGAAUGGAUGCUUUUCAACUCAAAUAUUUUUAAAUUUCAAUUUUACUUUAUGGGACUGGUAGUCAACCUACAGCUUGUCCUUUGCUGGCUUUAUUUUAUCUUUUUAAUUUUUGGUUUUGUUUAUUAAGCCUGUUUCUACAACUUUAAAAUACUGUUUGGUUUGUUUUUUAAAUAUAAGCUUAUGUAUUUAACUUAAAAUAAAUGAGACAAAUGAUUGAUGGACUACUCCGUUAUAAUCUGCUUGACUUUUGCAUCGACUUGAUCUAGUGUUUAAUCUUUAUCAAUGUAUCUUCCCAUUUUGUUAACAAAAUCUACAGUAUAGUUUUGAAAAGGUUGUUUAAGUAUCAAAUAAAAGUAUCAAAUCAAAGUAACAAAUUAAUAACAUUUUGGUGCAUAAUAUUUCCCAGGUGCUUUAAAGUUACUUUUUUGUGUGUUCCUAGACUGCCUUAAUGUGACUCCACUUGAAGAAACUCAGCUCUGGUGUCCCGGGCAGUCCCUGUGGAGCCUCGUUGCUGGACAUGCCUCUGAAUCAGAGCUGCUGAAGAUCCGUUCAGCACUGGGACACUAGACAUGUACACGAAUGUGCACGCUGAGCCAGUGAUGGGGCACGAGGUCUGGCAGGGGAGACAGCAACAUGGAAACCAUAACAGCAGAGCAGAGAAUCCAUCCACACACCCCCAAAGCUGCCCACUCUCUGACCCCCCUGUUGUGAAAGAGCUGGUGUGAGCUGAGGUUAGGAUGUUGCUACAGACUCUCAAAGAGAAAGCCUGCAUGACUGGAAGAGAUGAUAUGGUGCAAUUGUUUGGGUACAAACCUGAAACUAUGCACUACACCCUCAGUCACCAGGAGACAUGUUACAGUAACUCUGUCAGCUUUAAAAAUAGGGAUAAUUUCAGAAGAAGACCAAGCUCUCGUUUAGACCAGUCCAGCGCUGAAGAUGAGUUUGAGUCGAUUAGAGACAAGUUAAAGAGACACACAACGUUAUCACUCAACACAGGUCCGUCUUCUUGUCAGAAAGUGAAGCACUGAUAAAGUUUAUAAAGGGAAAUAUAAAACAACAGCAUCAGGGUGGACCAUGCAUGACAGAACCGUCACUUGCAGAAUGUCAGCAGGACAAAUGUCUGUCUCUCCACUGCACCGAACUUUACACCAAAUUUGACUUUUCUGUGCCAUCUUACACCUAAACCAUCAAGUUCACAUCCUCCCACCAAGACUUCACUGUUCAGGACUCUUCAGAAGUACUCGCCUUCCCCUGAAAACCAUAUAUCAUCACAGAGCUGUAUUCGCUUACCGAACACAGAUUUGGGAGAGAAAAAACCCCAUCUCUGCCUGGACUUCAAGAGAUAGUAAUACCUCCUCCUCCUCACUCCGUCGUGUCUCUGAUGCAGGCAGUCACAGCAGCGGUGACACUGGCCGUUCCGUGUCAACAAACGGGAAAUUAAAGGCACAAGAUGGGCAGCAGACGAGCAGCAGCGGAAACAGCUCAGAGUCAACAGUGGUGCGGUUGGAUAAUUGUGAAUGGUUGAGCAGUUCAAGGAGCUCGGCUUUAUCGGAAACCCCUGCACAACCUGACAGAAAGGAGCACAAGAGGUUAGUUCACAGACAAGAAAACUGAACGCCUCAGAAUGGACACCGACAAACAGCAAGGCCCAAACAGCUGCAGCCUGCCUGAUAGUGCCUCGCAUCCUCCAGAAAGACGUGGAGCACAGAGACGGGACACGUGCACUCAGCCACAGUCUGCGGAAACUACUAAUGGGAAAUACGUUGUUUCACCUAAAAGCACACAGGAGGAGAAGACAAAUCAGUCAAUAAGUGACCAGCAGCACACAGACAAAACUCCAGAUUCCCGCAAUAUUUUAUCAGCCAGUUUGUUCUGAAGGAACAAAACUACUCCGACUGAAUCAGAGUGACAGACUGAAAAAAAACUGUUUGUUUUAAACAAUGUUUUUGUUACAAAUCAUACAAAACCACAGAGCUGCUAAUACGUAUAUUUGGAAGCUUGGCAAUGUAACUGCUGCUGUGUAGCUAAAAACAGAGUCUCACUGGGAAACUUGUGUUUUGCUAUAAUAAAUAUACUGACAGACACUGACCAAGGCUGGAGUUUUACAUUCAGGAAAAGCAGCAAAUUUUAUUUAUUUAUUUUGUUCGUUUGACAAAUUAUAUGUGGUUAAGAAAGAAAAUGCUUUUAUAAAAAACAUACACACGCUUAAAAAUAAUUAUUACUUUUAUGUCAAACUAUAGUUCUGUGUCUGUUCUGUACAGUCUGGCCCCUAAAUAUUGUGCAAUUUUAUUGAGGUGUACCACAUAUUUUUGCACAUUUUAAAUAACUAAAAACACAAACAUGCUGUCUGACUCU